This 704-nucleotide long non-coding RNA is filed under the name Elaeis guineensis (African oil palm). RNAcentral's name for it is "long non-coding RNA (EGUI_LNC042079)". The record is from RNAcentral. Lineage: Eukaryota; Viridiplantae; Streptophyta; Magnoliopsida; Arecales; Arecaceae.
AACCAAGAAGAGUAUCUAGAAUUUUGUUUACGAGUGUUACAUCAGCUAUUCUUCAAACAUUAAUUAGAAUAAAACACCUGUAAAAUAUUUCCAGUAUGAAACUAUGAAGAUACUACUAAUUCUGAGCUAUGUUGGUACGGCCAGCUCAAGCUUCUAAUUAUGCACCUAUGAUAGUAUCCAAUUAGUGACUAAUUCUUUGAAUUAGCAAGGAAAGAAAAGAGACUAGAUAAUGAGCCCAACAGCUCAGCUAUUCUUCAAACAUUAAUUAGAAUAAAACACCUGUAAAAUAUUUCCAGUAUGAAACUAUGAAGAUACUACUAAUUCUGAGCUAUGUUGGUACGGCCAGCUCAAGCUUCUAAUUAUGCACCUAUGAUAGUAUCCAAUUAGUGACUAAUUCUUUGAAUUAGCAAGGAAAGAAGAGACUAGAUAAUGAGCCCAACAGCUCAAUAAGUAAUAUUUCGUUAACUAGAUCAUUCAAUUAGUAAUUUUGACAAAUGUUUUUUCUAAUAUUAAGCAUACAAGCAAAAUCAUUAUUUAAGUUUUUUUAUAAUCAAGAACGUUUGUGUUUCUUCAAGUAAUCAUACUUAUAUUCAUCAUAGAAUGCUGAAGCAUCCUAAACCAGAUGGUGUAGGGUGUUUCGAGUUGUCUCGACGACAAACUGGGAUAGUUCGGCCGAGAAAAAUGGCACACCAGAGGAGGGAGAG